Felis catus (domestic cat) is the source of this 689-nucleotide long non-coding RNA. RefSeq lists it as uncharacterized. The transcript has 3 exons. NCBI's taxonomy places the organism in Eukaryota, Metazoa, Chordata, Mammalia, Carnivora, Felidae. The record is from RefSeq and is a predicted model, not a curated record.
GUUCUGAGCUGUCAGCACAGAGCCUGACGCGGGGCUCGAACUCACGGACCGCGAGAUCGUGACCUGGCUGAAGUCGGACGCUUAACCGACUGCGCCACCCAGGCGCCCCAACAAUGACUCCUUCUUAGCUGAAGCAAAUUAGCGUGCGUUUACGUGACAAACAAGAAAGAAGUAAGCGUUUUGUCUGCAAGAUAGCUGAGCCCCAGUAGCGUGUGCCCGGAGCGGUUGCGAUAGGAGGUGAUGGGGAAGAGUGCAUUGACAUCCCGUUCCUUCAAAGCUUUCCGAAGACUGUAGUACGUCCGUUUGACCGAACGGUUACAGGGAGCGAAGGUUACCAACUACGACGCCAUCAGGAGCUAAGAUGCUGUCAGGAGUCACACGACUUGACUGGCCACCUGUCGGGGAGCGAGGUCUCCAGGAGACUGAGCCAGGGGAUGGGCUGGUGGUUUGAAACCUGUCCACAGAUUUAACGACUCUCCUGCCAUCAAGAGAGAUCCAAGGGGUGUGUCCUGAAAGAGAGCCACAGAGAAGCCGUAUCGAGUUAUGUGACUUAGACCUUGGAUCUCUGAGCCAUCACGCAAGAAGCCCGGUUACCCUGGAGCCGCCACGGCUGGAGACACCACGUGGAGAGUGAGAGAGACAGAGCAUGAACGGGGGAGGGUCAGAGAGACACAGAAUCGGAAACAGGC